Molecule: ribosomal RNA, 106 nt
Filed under: uncultured bacterium
Lineage: Bacteria
Description: partial 16S ribosomal RNA
Source: RNAcentral
CCCGGGUCUUGUACACACCGCCCGUCACACCAUGGGAGUUGAUUGCACCAGAAGUAGGUAGCCUAACCGCAAGGAGCCGCCUAGGGUAAAACUGGUGACUGGGGCU